UGCACCUACGGGGCGCAGCAGUGGGGAAUAUUGCACAAUGGGGGAAACCCUGAUGCAGCAACGCCACGUGAGUGAAGAAGUAUUUCGGUAUGUAAAGCUCUAUCAGCAGGGAAGAAGAUGACGGUACCUGAGUAAGAAGCCCCGGCUAACUACGUGCCAGCAGCCGCGGUAAUACGUAGGUGGCAAGCGUUAUCCGGCUUUAUUGGGUGUAAAGGGCGUGUAGGCGGGAAUGCAAGGCAGAU
RNAcentral lists this ribosomal RNA (242 nucleotides) under uncultured bacterium. RNAcentral describes it as "partial 16S ribosomal RNA". It matches the Rfam family "Bacterial small subunit ribosomal RNA", at positions 335 to 593 of the family's 1533-position model. The record is from RNAcentral.